Molecule: ribosomal RNA, 253 nt
Filed under: uncultured bacterium
Lineage: Bacteria
Description: partial 16S ribosomal RNA
Rfam family: Bacterial small subunit ribosomal RNA
Source: RNAcentral
CACGUAGGAGGCGAGCGUUGUCCGGAAUCAUUGGGCGUAAAGAGCGCGCAGGCGGCCCGGCAAGUCGGGUGUGAAAGCCCAGGGCUCAACCCUGGGAUGCCGACCGAUACUGUCGGACUAGAGUUCGGAAGAGGCGAGUGGAAUUCCCGGUGUAGCGGUGAAAUGCGCAGAUAUCGGGAGGAACACCUAUGGCGAAGGCAGCUCGCUGGGACGUUACUGACGCUGAGACGCGAAAGCGUGGGGAGCAAACAGG